UUUUGCCUGCGGUGUUGGUGAACUUCGAGUUUAAUUCGAACCGAACACCAAUUCACAUUGGGAGCUUUAUAUUAAAACGCCGACAGCAUGCCUGAUUUAUUCAGGAAGCUGAAAGUGUUUUUGCGGGCACCCACCUGCCUAGGGCGGGUUCGUGAAAUCUGGAAGAUAACCGCACAUGCGGGCUUGCU
This 188-nucleotide non-coding RNA is filed under the name Salipaludibacillus keqinensis. RNAcentral's name for it is "6S / SsrS RNA". It matches the Rfam family "6S / SsrS RNA". Rfam says of the family: E. coli 6S RNA was the first non coding RNA to be sequenced, but its function was unknown until recently. It consists of 184 nucleotides that fold into an extended hairpin structure with a large single-stranded internal bulge. The 6S RNA specifically associates with RNA polymerase holoenzyme containing the sigma70 specificity factor. The record is from Rfam by way of RNAcentral. Lineage: Bacteria; Bacillati; Bacillota; Bacilli; Caryophanales; Bacillaceae.